UGAGGAAUAUUGGUCAAUGGGCGCAAGCCUGAACCAGCCAUGCCGCGUGCAGGAAGAAUGCCCUAUGGGUUGUAAACUGCUUUUAUUUGGGAAUAAACCUCUUUACGUGUAGAGAGCUGAAGGUACCAAAUGAAUAAGCACCGGCUAACUCCGUGCCAGCAGCCGCGGUAAUACGGAGGGUGCAAGCGUUAUCCGGAAUCAUUGGGUUUAAAGGGUCCGCAGGCGGUUUAAUAAGUCAGUGGUGAAAGCCUAUUGCUCAACAAUAGAACUGCCAUUGAUACUGUUAGACUUGAAUUAGGUCGGAGUGGGCGGAAUAUGACAUGUAGCGGUGAAAUGCUUAGAUAUGUCAUAGAACACCGAUAGCGAAGGCAGCUCACUAGCCCUAAAUUGACGCUCAUGG
Molecule: ribosomal RNA, 400 nt
Filed under: uncultured bacterium
Lineage: Bacteria
Description: bacterial SSU rRNA
Rfam family: Bacterial small subunit ribosomal RNA
Source: RNAcentral